GGGGCUUCAGGCCAAUUGCUCAGCUCCGCCCCACCCCUGCUGGGCAGGCCUGGGCCCCUUCUCUGGGCCUCCUUCUGCCCGGAGCCCCCAUCUGUCCCCUUCUCCUCUUGCUGCCCCAGGGGUCUCGGAGCCCCUCCCCCAUCAGUCUUGCUGUCCCUGGAAGGAGGGAAACUGAGGCCAGAGGGUCCCCAGGGAGUCCAGAGGGCAUCCUAUUGCCUCCACGGGGCCUGGAGACAACGGCCUCACUCGAGCAGAUCCACUCCUCCUCGAGACCCAGCCAGGUCUCAGCCACAACUCCUGACCUUUGCGUGCGCUGUGGUUCCCUGGCCUGGCCGCUCUUCCGUCCCAGAAUGCGUGGAAUUUAGAACCAGCCCCUAGGCCUGGCUCAGAGGAUGCGGGCAGGGGUCCGUGGAAUCUCUCCAGGACAGGUCAUUCCGCUCCUGAGCAGCCCUCUCCUCGGGCACCGCGGGGAACACCUCCACCUCGCUCCACUGCCCAACUGGGGACCCCCACCCCCAACGGUCUGUAAGAGCUUGGCUCUGGAAUCCUCAUCUGUUCCUUCCACGUCACCGAGACUUUUCUGGCUUCCAGCCUGGCUUGAACAGCGGUGGGGGUUGGUCGCCAGGACCCCGCUGGGAGCUCACCAUCCCUUUGUGGCCGCCAUCUGUCCUUGUCAAUCUCGAGACUCCCGCCCCCAGGGGCCACCAAU
This is a long non-coding RNA of Bos taurus (domestic cattle), 709 nucleotides long. The record is from Ensembl. NCBI's taxonomy places the organism in Eukaryota, Metazoa, Chordata, Mammalia, Artiodactyla, Bovidae.